AGCCCUGUGGUGUAUGACACGUUUGAUUGCAAAUCUUAAGGCGCAGGCUUACCGCCUGCUGGGGCUU
This 67-nucleotide transfer RNA is filed under the name Heteromormyrus pauciradiatus. RNAcentral's name for it is "tRNA-Cys". It matches the Rfam family "tRNA". From Rfam's summary of the family: Transfer RNA (tRNA) molecules are approximately 80 nucleotides in length. Lineage: Eukaryota; Metazoa; Chordata; Actinopteri; Osteoglossiformes; Mormyridae. The record is from RNAcentral.